RNAcentral lists this long non-coding RNA (295 nucleotides) under Mytilus galloprovincialis (Mediterranean mussel). Lineage: Eukaryota; Metazoa; Mollusca; Bivalvia; Mytilida; Mytilidae. The record is from RNAcentral.
UCCGUUCGUUCGUCCGUCUGUGCGUCCUUUCGCUUUAGGUUAAAGUUUUUGGUCAAGGUAGUUUUUGAAGAAGUUGAAGUCCAAUCAACUUGAAACUUAAUACACAUGUUCCCCAUGAUAUGAUCUUUCUAAUUUUAAUGCCAAAUUAUAGUUUUGACCCCAAUUUCAUGGUCCACUGAACAUAGAAAAUAAUAGUGUGAAGUUCAGGUUAAAGUUUUUGGUCAAGGUAGUUUUUGAUGAAGUUAAAGUUACAUCAACUUGAAACUUAGUACACAUGUUCCCUAUGAUAUGAUCA